AAAAUACGGGAGGCAGCAGUGAGGAAUCUUCCACAAUGGGCGAAAGCUGAUGGAGCAACGCCGCGUGAAGGAUGAAGGCCUUCGGGUUGUAAACUUCUUUUAUGAGUGAAGAAUAUGACGGUAACUCAUGAAUAAGCACCGGCUAACUACGUGCCAGCAGCCGCGGUUAAUUUUU
Molecule: ribosomal RNA, 175 nt
Filed under: uncultured bacterium
Lineage: Bacteria
Description: partial 16S ribosomal RNA
Rfam family: Bacterial small subunit ribosomal RNA
Source: RNAcentral